AGGCGGCGCUCCCGGAGAUGCCCCGCGGCAGCCGCGCUGGAGGCUCCAAGAAACCACCACAUCUAAAAGCACCAGUGGGCUUACAGACAUAACAUGGAGUUCCAGUGGAAGUGAUUUGUCGGAUGAAGAUAAGACACUUUCUGAAUUACAGAGAGAUGAAUUACAGUUCAUCGACUGGGAGAUUGACAGUGACAGGGCAGAGGCUAGUGACUGUAAUGAAUUUGAAGAUGACGAGGGUGCUGUGGAAAUCUCAGACUGUGCUUCUUGUGCAAGUAAUCAGUCUUUGACAAGUGAUGAGAAGCUGUCUGAGCUUCCCAAGGUAGAAAAUCUGGUGUAUUAACUGUGAAAAUUUUAGAGCUGCAUGAGGAAUGUGCCAUGCAAGUUGCCAUGUGUGAGCAGUUAUUGGGGUCACCAGCCACCAGCCCGUCCCGAAGUGUGGCCCCCAGGCCUGGAGCUGGCCUGAAAGUUCUCUUCACCAAGGAGACUGCAGGCUACCUCAGGGGCCGUCCCCAGGACAUUGUCCGGAUCUUCCCUCCCUGGCAAAAACUGAUUAUUCCAAAUGGAAGUUGCCCUGUUAUUCUGAAUACUUACUUUUGUGAGAAAGUUGUUGCCAAAGAAGAUUCAGAAAAAACUUGUGAAGUGUACUGUCCGGACAUACCCCUUCCAAAAAGAAGCAUCUCUUUGGCCCAGAUGUUUGUAAUUAAGGGUCUAACAAAUAAUUCACCUGAAAUCCAGGUUGUGUGUAGUGGUGUAGCCACUACAGGGACAGCCACUACAGGGACAGCCUGGACCCACAGGCACAAAGAAGCAAAACAGCGCAUCCCAACUGGCACUCCCCUGAGGGAUUCUCUCCUGGAUGUGGUGGAAAGCCAGGGAGCUGCCUCGUGGCCAGGAACUGGAGUCCGAGUGGUAGUGCAAAGAGUGUAUUCUCUUCCCAGCAGAGACAGCACCAGGGGUCAGCAGGGGGCCAGCUCAGGACACACAGACCCAGCUGGAACGCGAGCCUGCCUUCUGGUACAAGAUGCCUGUGGAAUGUUCGGUGAAGUGCACUUGGAGUUCCCCAUGUCGAAGGCAAGACAGUUGGAAGGGAGGUCUUGCAGCCUGGUGGGAAUGAAGGUUCUACAGAAAGUCACCAGAGGAAGGACAGCGGGGAUUUUCAGUUUGAUUGACACCCUAUGGCCCCCAGCGAUACCUCUGAAAACACCUGGCCGCGACCAGCCCUGUGAAGAGAUAAAAACUCAUCUGCCUCCUCCAGCCUUGUGUUACAUCCUCACAGCUCAUCCAAAUCUGGGACAAAUUGAUAUAAUUGACGAAGACCCCAUUUAUAAGCUUUACCAGCCUCCAGUUACCCGCUGCUUAAGAGACAUUCUCCAGAUGAAUGAUCUUGGUACCCGUUGCAGUUUCUAUGCCAGGGUGAUUUACCAAAGACCACAGCUGAAGAGUCUGCUUCUUCUGGAGCAAAGGGAGAUCUGGCUGCUAGUGACCGAUGUCACUCUGCAAACAAAGGAGGAGAGUGACCCCAGGCUCCCCAAAACCCUGCUGGUCUAUGUGGCCCCCUCGUGUGUGCUGGGCUCUGAAGUCCUGGAGGCAGUUGCUGGGGCUACCCCUCACAGCCUCUUCUUCAAGGACGCUCUCCGUGACCAGGGUGUGCUUGCUUCUCCACAGCUUUGAUGCAGGGGCGACUGAUCGGUGCCCAUAGAAUACCUCUUGUGGCCUCUGGACACCUCCAUGUUGCUUGGACGCUGCCAGCACCUUCACGGAGCCCAUCACAGACAUGGCCCAUGUACCAGCCUCCAGGCUUCACUGACCCUGUAGCGGCCACCUGGGCAGAACCAGCUCCAUGGAGAUGCUGUGCUCACUCCAG
RNAcentral lists this small RNA (1864 nucleotides) under Pongo abelii (Sumatran orangutan). RNAcentral describes it as "processed transcript". Lineage: Eukaryota; Metazoa; Chordata; Mammalia; Primates; Hominidae. The record is from RNAcentral.